This 267-nucleotide ribosomal RNA is filed under the name Triticum aestivum (bread wheat). Its description in RNAcentral is "partial small subunit ribosomal RNA". The record is from RNAcentral. Lineage: Eukaryota; Viridiplantae; Streptophyta; Magnoliopsida; Poales; Poaceae.
UUUGCCUGGUGAAAGAUGUGUGUGCCAAAGAAGAAAGGCGGUAUGGGCUUCAGGGAUAUUCAUUGUUUUAAUCUUGCACUUUUGGCAAAACAAACGUGGUGCUUCAUUGACAAUCCAGACUCACUAUGUGCAAUUAUUUUAAGAGCCAAGUACUUCUCAGAUGGAGAUCUUAUGAGUGCUACUUUGAAUCAAAAAUCUUCAUAUACUUGGUAGAGUAUAAUGGCUGGUGUGGACACACUGAGACGUGGGUGGAAUUGGAGAUGGUGA